This 449-nucleotide ribosomal RNA is filed under the name uncultured bacterium. Its description in RNAcentral is "partial 16S ribosomal RNA". It matches the Rfam family "Bacterial small subunit ribosomal RNA", at positions 29 to 523 of the family's 1533-position model. The record is from RNAcentral.
AACGAACGCUGGCGGCAUGCCUAACACAUGCAAGUCGAACGAGAUCUUCGGGUCUAGUGGCGCACGGGUGCGUAACGCGUGGGAAUCUGCCCUUUGGUUCGGAAUAACAGUUGGAAACGACUGCUAAUACCGGAUGAUGACGGAAGUCCAAAGAUUUAUCGCCAGAGGAUGAGCCCGCGUAGGAUUAGCUAGUUGGUGUGGUAAAGGCGCACCAAGGCGACGAUCCUUAGCUGGUCUGAGAGGAUAAUCAGCCACACUGGGACUGAGACACGGCCCAGACUCCUACGGGAGGCAGCAGUGGGGAAUAUUGGACAAUGGGCGAAAGCCUGAUCCAGCAAUGCCGCGUGAGUGAUGAAGGCCUUAGGGUUGUAAAGCUCUUUUACCCGGGAUGAUAAUGACAGUACCGGGAGAAUAAGCUCCGGCUAACUCCGUGCCAGCCGCCGCUGUAA